This 433-nucleotide ribosomal RNA is filed under the name uncultured bacterium. RNAcentral describes it as "partial 16S ribosomal RNA". It matches the Rfam family "Bacterial small subunit ribosomal RNA", at positions 29 to 507 of the family's 1533-position model. The record is from RNAcentral.
AACGAACGCUGGCGGCAUGCCUAACACAUGCAAGUCGAACGAAGGCUUCGGCCUUAGUGGCGCACGGGUGCGUAACGCGUGGGAAUCUGCCCUUUGGUUCGGAAUAACAGCUGGAAACGGCUGCUAAUACCGGAUGAUGACGAAAGUCCAAAGAUUUAUCGCCAGAGGAUGAGCCCGCGUUGGAUUAGGUAGUUGGUGGGGUAAAGGCCUACCAAGCCGACGACCCAUAGCUGGUCUGAGAGGAUGAUCAGCCACACUGGGACUGAGACACGGCCCAGACUCCUACGGGAGGCAGCAGUGGGGAAUAUUGGACAAUGGGCGCAAGCCUGAUCCAGCAAUGCCGCGUGAGUGAUGAAGGCCCUAGGGUUGUAAAGCUCUUUUACCCGGGAAGAUAAUGACUGUACCGGGAGAAUAAGCCCCGGCUAACUCCGUG